This 6630-nucleotide long non-coding RNA is filed under the name Populus trichocarpa (black cottonwood). RNAcentral's name for it is "long non-coding RNA (PTRI_LNC002858)". Lineage: Eukaryota; Viridiplantae; Streptophyta; Magnoliopsida; Malpighiales; Salicaceae. The record is from RNAcentral.
CUCACCUUGCCCUACCAUGACUGCCAGACACCCUUUUGGGAUAUCUUUCAACUGCUUCUUGCCAUGAUGAUCAUGGUGGUGGUGGUGGUGAUGAUGGUGGUGGUGGUGAUGGUGAUUUGGCAAGUGAAUAUGGAAACUCAAAUGAUUUUUAUCUCCACUCCCCAUUGUACGCUUAAACACCACAAAAAAUCAAAGAAACAACAAAGAAGAUCACCCUGAAAGCCUAAAGAUGGGUGCAAAUUCUUAUAUAGUAUAGGUUAUAAGAAAACAAGAGAGAAAGGCCAAGGAUCAGCUGCAGAAAUGGCAAGCUUGAAAAGGGUGAAAGAAGAGUCUGCAAGAGAUCUUGGUAUAUUGCUCAUGAUAUAUGAAAAUCAAACAAAAACAACAUAAGCACAAGAAAGAAAGAUCGAGGGUUAUUUUUUUCUAGGAAGAAGAGUGGUUUACAUAUAUAUAGUGGGGGAGGGAGGUAGUAGAUAUGGUUCUAGCUUGCUAGGAUAUGCUUCGGUUAUACUCGUAGAGGUUGUUCUAGAGACAGAAACAGCCAGAGACGCCAAGAGUUCACAUCUUAGGUAGGUUUCUAUAUAUUUUUUUAAUAACUUUCCGUCUAAGAUAAGAGAAUGUAAAUACAAAAUUGAUCAUCUUAUUUACAGCUGGAAUUAAAACACGCUAUUUACAGGAUAAAGCUUGGUGGAAAUUAACAUUUGACUUUUCAAAUAAGCGAAAGGUCAAAUAUUAAGAGAAAAAUAAAUAAACACUAUUCGUCUCUAGGAUUAGUGCGAUAAAAAGGUGAAAAAAUAGGGCAUACGCUGCUCUGAUUUUGCCAAAUGUGAAGAUUGCGAGUGCUGUGAUGGAUCCUGAAAUAGCUUGAUAUUCAUUAUUGUGUGAAUGACAACCUCGCAGACUUUUCCAAUCAGAAAGGGAUAUUAUUAUAUUAAAAAAAUAAAAAUUCUAGGUGCAUAAUUACCAGGUAAUUUUUUAUUUUAUUUUAUUUUAUUUAAAGGGGUGCUUGACUUUCUCAUCAACAUGACUAAAAUAAAUUCUAAGCAUUUGGGUUUCAUGUAAAAUAUCAAUUCUAAGAAUACUAUAUUUCAGUUGACAGAUGCUGCAAAUUUUGGAUAAGAUUUGAAUUUUAUUUUUUUUAUUUUAACCAAGAGGGUGUCUGCCACCCUGACAAGCAUGACGUCCAUCUACAGACAAUUAUAAGUUAUUUUAUUAAUAUUUUCUAAUAUUAUUUGGAUUUGGAUUUUCUAAUUAAUAUUACGAUUUUGUAGGAUUAAUUAAUAUUGGUAAUUUAUUGUGAGAUUCGUGUGUUUUGAUUGCCGAAAUUAUGACGAGGUAUUUCCUUUAAUUACUAAUUAAGGUAAUACAUUAAUUAAUAUCUUAUUCUUUCUCCCUUUCUGGGUCAUAUUAAUAUUCAUAUUUUUUAAGCUAAUAUUUAGCUAAUAAAUCAAGCCAAAACCAAUAUAUUCACAAUCCAGUAAUAUUGGAGGUAGGAGGAGAGAAUAAACUGCUCAUAGCAAUUACACCAAGAAAAGAGGAUAACGAUGAGAGGUGAAACGACGUGGGACCCGUGAACGGCCAUGUAGACGUCAGCAAGAAGGGAGCAACCAAUAGCAAGCGUGAACUCGUCAAACCUGACAUCACAAAAUCUGACAAGUUCAUUAAUUAGUCACUAAUUACUAAUUACCUUGUUUUUAACGUGUGAUCUUGGAACAGUUACAAAAUUGCAGACAAACACGCUUAAGGCAGCCAAAUCAGGGGUUGUGGGUGUAUUACCAAUUCUACCCUUUAUUUAUUUAUUAUUAUUAUUUCUUUAAUGGAUGACACCUACAUGGGAGCUCCUUGGUCAAGGUCUAGCCGGAUGUUGCGGCUGAUUUCAUUGCAAUUUUUUUUGUGAUGCAAAGGUGUGUGAUCAUAUAUAUAUUAUUGAGGUUCGAUCGAAUAUGUAUAUGAUUAUUUAUUAUUCAAUUAUUAUUUAAUAUUCAUAAAAAAUAAUAUAUAUAUAUACACACACAUUAAAUUAAAAAAAUAAAUACUAUAUAUAUAAAAAAAUUGAGAAAUAUAAAUGUGAAUUUAACUGCAAACAUAUAUAUAUAUAUAUAUAUAUAUAUAUAUAUAUAUAUAUAUAUAUAUAUGUGGUUAGCAUAGAAAUUCCAUGACAGUUCACCUUUUCAGCAUGAUAGUGGAUUCGGGAGAAUGGGAAAGAAAACAAAGGGUUGCGGGUUUUGGCCCACCCAUAAGUUGGGAAAGGCUAAAGAAAUACAUGAUCAUUUCAAUUAGGUCCUUCUUCAUUGAUUUUCUAUAAUUUUGCAGCUUUAUUCUUCGCACCUGCUUUAAACUUUUCAAAUCAAAGAUUUGCCCCCAAAUUAAUGGACGGGGAAGAUAACCAACAUAUAUAGUGGCCAAUCAAAAUCCAUUAUAAAAGGUAUAGGAUAAAGAUAAUUCCAUUAUAAAAGGUAUAGGAUAAUUAGGUUUUAGGUCUUUAUCAAAUUAAAGGGAUAGAUAACUAUAGACAUUAAUUUCACCAUAAUUAUACGAAGACAAAACAUCAUGCUUUGUGUUGGUAAUUCAAGAUAUUGACAUGAAAUUAAUUUGAUUUCCAUUUUCCACUAUAUAUAUAUAUUAUUAGCUCAAACAAUUUUGAAUAUAUAAUAAAAAAUAUAUCUUUUUUUUCUUGGUAAUAAAAAAUUUUAUUUUUAAAAUUUUAUUUUUUACAUAAAAAAUGAGUGUUAUUAGAUUAACUUAUACCUUAAUCUAUAUCAAUACUUACUCCUUGUAUAGCUUAAGAGCUUGUUUAGUUAUUGUUUUUUAAAGUGUUUUUCGCUUAGAAAUAUAUACAAAUAAUAUAUAUUUUUAAAAAAAUUAUUUUAACAUCAAUACAUUAAAACGAUCUAAAAAAAAAAUUAAUUUGAUGAAUUUUUUUUAAUUUUUUAAAAAACACUAUUAAAAUUAAUGUAAAAACAAACAAGGCAUAUAUUUAGUUGAUUAGUCAUUAAAUAAUCUUAAAUAAAUUGAUUGAAAUAUCCAAAUACAAUAAAGUUCUCCACCUCCUGAUGUUUGGCCUACCCAACCACUCUUUCUGCCACGCACAAAGAAGGGGACGUGCCACUAGCAACAUUUCCCUGUGGGUCACACCAUAAUCAAUUUCCUAGCUGCGUGGUUCACAUCACCUAUUCACAAGUAGUAAUGGGUCUAGAAAUGCGAUAAAAAACAACUAAGGGUCUAGAAGUUCAAAUUGUUAGAAAAUCUUGUAAAGCUAGAACCGGUGAAUUCUAAAAUAUGCAAGAAUUCAAGGGUCAAGCAUGCAAUAUGCCAUUUGCAUAAAGAAAGGGAGCGUCAAGAGAAGAAGGAGAAAAUUACAAGACAAGGCACUCCAAAAGGUGUGGAUGGAAGAGUGGACUUUUUUGCUUUGUGGCAAAGAGAUUGUGAAAUGGAGCUUGAUUUAGGGCUUUUUUCCUUUUCUUUUCCCCCAAGCAAGGUGCUUGUGUUCUUUCUUUGUUGCCUCUAUUGUUCAUAAAGGUAUUAUUUAAUUACUUCUCAUAUUUUUCUUCUCAGAGCUUAGCUAAUCUUUAUUAUUUCUAUUGUCUUAAUGGUGUUAAAAAAUUUAGCUUGGUUUGACGGAUCAACUUAGUGACUUGCCAAAUUAGAAUAUGAUCUAAAUCGAGAUUCAAAUUAAAUCAUGUAGAAAUCGAUAUAGCCGAACCUGACUAACCCGAUAAAUCAACCCGUUAUCUAAUCAAAUCAAUCAAAACUCAUUUUUUUCAAAAUAAUACCAUUUUUAAUUAAUUAAAAUAAAUAUUUUAGUUUUGAAUUAAUCUAGAACAACCGAGGUCAUGCCAACUCUAGCCUUGGGACAAGUCAUGGACGAGACCGUCUUUGAUAACUUCGAUCAUGGUUAAGGAGACUAAAGUUUAAACUUAAAUAUUCCAUGUUUUUAGAUUUUUCAUCCCUUUCGAAUGUAUAAAAGGGACGGGGUCAAAGCAAGAGCUAUGCUGACUAUAGACUCGGCCUACCAGGCCGUCUGUCUUGCAUUAAUUUUGGAAUUUACCGCAACUAUCGAAGACAUCUACUCCACACAUUUCCUUAUUUUCAUGUCUAAACAACAACAACAAAAAAGUCAACCCAGAUUUACGUUUCAGAAUUUUUAAUCAGAAAUCCCAAAGAAGAAAAUAAUUUCAUCUAAGAAGGUCAAUGCUUAUCAACCAAUCAAUUGACAUGUGCAUAUUUUCCUGAGAGAAACUGAUAGAAUAUUCAUUAAACAAUUAGCAGCUAAACUGCUAGCUAGCAGGCAUGUAGAAGUUCCGGCCGGGAAGGAGGCAGGUGACCCUUACCAUGCCAUUAUCUCUUCUAUGAUUUGUUGAAGGAGGCAGGUGACCUUUUUUAUUAUAUGUAUAUAUUUGUCAAGUAACCACUAAGUAUUUACAUCAUUUGAAGAGCUUGACUAUGGAAUCUCAUUCUUUGAACACCAUUUUUGAAUAACACCUUCCUCAUGCAAAUCACCAAAAAAAAAAAAAAAAAAAAACUGGGGAAAGAGGUCUAGUGUUUACCGAGCCAACUUGAUAAACUUAUGCACUUCAACUAACCAUUUGGGCUGGGCAUUUAAAGCCUUGGGAUCUCUAGCAUGUCCACUAAUAAAAAAGGGCCAGCUAGCUAGACAUCAAAGUCAUGAAGAAGUUUAUCCUCUAAUGAAAAGGUACACUAAUCCGAAUUGGAUUCAGUAUUUUCAAUUUAUUAGCCAAGAAACAAUCAUAAUUUAAGCUGUCAAGUCAAGACAAGACAAGAAACAAAUCUCCAAUGGAGGAACACGGUUUUCCUCGUCCAAUUGUUGUUAGACAACCAUUAUAUUUCAAGGCCUAUAGUCAAGAACAAGGUUUUUCGACUGUUCUUGAACUCAUGAGACAAUACUGUUCUCAAAGUUAUCUUUUUACCCACUAGAAUCUCUCGAAGUUAAUUAACACAAAUGCUCAUCUUGCAUCCAGUAUAAAUUAGUUGCAAAUUAAGUUGAUUUUGCAACUUAAAUGUCUCCAAUUGCAACUGGAUUUGUUGUAGCUAAUUCAAUUUUUUUCUUCGGUGAGAUAAUUCUCCAAACCAUCAAAGUCGUAUACCGUAGACAUGGUAUACUUGUAUAUACAAAAUCUGCUCUGUAUUUACAUGAUAAAGGCAACAACAAGCUCACUAUAUAGCACAUGAAUGUCAGAGUCAGGAACAUAUUAUCAAGAAGAAAAAACUCAUCAGAUUGAGGCAUUGCACAACUUGUGAGAAAAUGGCCUGCUUUGCAAAUCUAAUUAGGGGUCUGAACAAUAUACCAAACAACAGAAAGGACCUAAUCUUGAUUGGCAUAACUUGGUCCCGUGCCAUGUUGCGCAUUGGCAUGCAUAUUUUGGUCGACUUGAAAGCCCUUCAUGCACCAACAGAGUGACUACUUCGGUCCCGAUCAAUAUCAACUUUGUAUUAUUACACUCAGAUACCUCUGGCCAGCUUCCUGCUUCUGUGGAAACAGGGAAGUGGUUCCUCCGGCAGCCAACGAAUCAAUGAUAGGUCUAAUUAUCAUUAUGCCCUCUCCAACGGCGGCAAUAGCUAAUGUUGUGAAAAAAACAAGGAAAGAAAAUGCGCCGUAUAUGGUCUCCUCAGGUCUCCAAAAAGCUGACAAUACAAGAAACAAGAUCUCUAAUGGCAACAUUACCAUCACCACAAAAGCUAGGCUAUAUAUUCUAGCUCUUAACCCUUUGUUGAUUGCGAGGGUGACCACCUUGAAACAUGACAAGAAGAAGAACAAAGUGUACCAAACCCCAAAAGCACCAAAUAUGAUGCAACUUAUUAGAGGGUACGUGCACAUCACAAUUUCCACCCCAAAAUUAUUCUUGAAAACAACUGAACUUCGAUGAAAAAUAGAUGGCAUCUUUACCAUCGAAGUGAACACAAACACAAAUUGUAUAGUGAGGAUGGGAAUACAUGCAGACCAAAGAAAGGCAUGAACCCAAGUACCCCGUGGGGUUUUUCUCUUGAUGGAUAUGUUCAUAAGAAAAAGGAGGAUCACCAGGAAACCAGGUUCUAAUAACCCUAAUGAGAGAACAACAUGGACUUUGCAAAGACUUUCUUGUUGUGAUAGGGUUAAAGAAGGAAAAAAAGGGUAGAGAUGUUGUUUACGAAAUAAGGGUAAGCGAAAAAACUCGUUAAGACCCCAAAGUGUGAUGAUAAAGACAAGGAGGAAUCGGACGGACCAAAGGGAGUUGAAGCUUUGUAAAUGAUGGGAAUUUUGUGAUUUGAAUAGGAGAUGAAAUACAAAGCAAAGAGAGAAGAGGGAAAGGAGGAAGAGGGCAAUGAUGGAGUAGAGAAUCGCCAAGUCGAAGGUGGUGUUAUAGGAUGGAUCAUAGAUAGAAGAAAUGUUCAACAUGGCACAACCUAACAAUUAAUGAAUUGCUAUAAUAGAUGGUGUUGGUGAUGAUAUUGAUAAUGGUAAUGAUCGAUUACAUUGUUAGGUAAAGGUGGUGAUGGUUUAAGAGAAAUUUGGAUUGGAAAAUGCAUAGAAAUUAAAGAUUUGAAGAAGAACAAGUACUGUUACAUAUGGUGGUCGGAAGGGGAAAGGGGAGGUUAAAGAAUAGAUGGUAGUUUUCUCUCCCCCAAUUCCCA